CCCUUAGAUGUUCUGGGCCGCACGCGCGCUACACUGAUUCAUGCAACAAGUUUUGUCCUUGGCUGAUAGGCCUGGGUAAUCUUUGAACGUGAAUCGUGAUGGGGAUAGAUGAUUGCAAUUAUUCAUCUUCAACGAGGAAUUCCUAGUAAACGCAAGUCAUCAGCUUGCAUUGAUUACGUCCCUGCCCUUUGUACACACCGCCCGUCGCACCUACCGAUUGAAUGGUCCGGUGAAAUCUCGGGACGGCGGCUUGGUCGCUUGCGUCCGACUGCUGAAACUUGAUUAAACCAUNUNAUUUAUNGGAAGGUGAANUCGUANCA
This 320-nucleotide ribosomal RNA is filed under the name uncultured eukaryote. RNAcentral describes it as "partial 18S ribosomal RNA". It matches the Rfam family "Eukaryotic small subunit ribosomal RNA", at positions 1470 to 1796 of the family's 1831-position model. The record is from RNAcentral.